This 65-nucleotide transfer RNA is filed under the name Salmo salar (Atlantic salmon). It matches the Rfam family "tRNA", at positions 8 to 63 of the family's 71-position model. From Rfam's summary of the family: Transfer RNA (tRNA) molecules are approximately 80 nucleotides in length. Their secondary structure includes four short double-helical elements and three loops (D, anti-codon, and T loops). The record is from Rfam by way of RNAcentral. Lineage: Eukaryota; Metazoa; Chordata; Actinopteri; Salmoniformes; Salmonidae.
UGGCUCAGUUGGUAGAGCAUGGUACAUGGUGUUUGCAAUGCCAGGGUUGUGGGUUCGAUUCCCAC